RNAcentral lists this ribosomal RNA (301 nucleotides) under uncultured bacterium. Its description in RNAcentral is "partial 16S ribosomal RNA". It matches the Rfam family "Bacterial small subunit ribosomal RNA", at positions 509 to 808 of the family's 1533-position model. The record is from RNAcentral.
CAGCCGCCGCGGGAAUACGUAGGUCCCGAGCGUUGUCCGGAUUUAUUGGGCGUAAAGCGAGCGCAGGCGGUUAGAAAAGUCUGAAGUGAAAGGCAGUGGCUCAACCAUUGUAGGCUUUGGAAACUGUUUAACUUGAGUGCAGAAGGGGAGAGUGGAAUUCCAUGUGUAGCGGUGAAAUGCGUAGAUAUAUGGAGGAACACCGGUGGCGAAAGCGGCUCUCUGGUCUGUAACUGACGCUGAGGCUCGAAAGCGUGGGGAGCGAACAGGAUUAGAUACCCGUGUAGUCCCUGUCUCUUAUACA